RNAcentral lists this ribosomal RNA (398 nucleotides) under uncultured Flavobacterium sp. RNAcentral's name for it is "bacterial SSU rRNA". It matches the Rfam family "Bacterial small subunit ribosomal RNA", at positions 9 to 412 of the family's 1533-position model. The record is from RNAcentral. Lineage: Bacteria; Pseudomonadati; Bacteroidota; Flavobacteriia; Flavobacteriales; Flavobacteriaceae.
GAGUUUGAUCUUGGCUCAGGAUGAACGCUAGCGGGAGGCCUAACACAUGCAAGCCGAGCGGUAUUUAUUCUUCGGAAUAGAGAGAGCGGCGUACGGGUGCGGAACACGUGUGCAACCUGCCUUUAUCUGGGGGAUAGCCUUUCGAAAGGAAGAUUAAUACCCCAUAAUAUAUUGAUUGGCAUCAAUUAAUAUUGAAAACUCCGGUGGAUAGAGAUGGGCACGCGCAAGAUUAGAUAGUUGGUGAGGUAACGGCUCACCAAGUCAGUGAUCUUAGGGGCCUGAGAGGGUGAUCCCCACACUGGUACUGAGACACGGACCAGACUCCUACGGGAGGCAGCAGUGAGGAAUAUUGGACAAUGGGUGAGAGCCUGAUCCAGCCAUCCCGCGUGAAGGACGAC